AGGCCAGUCCGUCCCCAUGAGGCCAGUCCGUCCCCAUGAGGCCAAUCUGUCCCCAUCAAUCUGUCCCCAUGAGGCCAGUCCGUCCCCAUGAGGCCAGUCCGUCCCCAUGAGGCCAAUCUGUCCCCAUAAACCCUUACCAUUCCUGACACCAAGGUUUCUAGAUAAACCCUUACCAUUCCUAACACCAAGGUUUCUAGAUAAACCCUUACCAUUCCUGACACCAAGGUUUCUAGAUAAACCCUUACCAUUCCUAACACCAAGGUUUCUAGAUAAACCCUUAUCAUUCCUGACACCAAGGUUUCUAGAUAAACCCUUACCAUUCCUAACACCAAGGUUUCUAGAUAAACCCUUACCAUUCCUGACACCAAGGUUUCUAGAUAAACCCUUACCAUUCCUAACACCAAGGUUUCUAGAUAAACCCUUACCAUUCCUAACACCAAGGUUUCUAGAUAAACCCUUACCAUUCCUGACACCAAGGUUUCUAGAUAAACCCUUACCAUUCCUAACACCAAGGUUUCUAGAUAAACCCUUACCAUUCCUAACACCAAGGUUUCUAGAUAAACCCUUACCAUUCCUGACACCAAGGUUUCUAGAUAAACCCUUACCAUUCCUAACACCAAGGUUUCUAGAUAAACCCUUACCAUUCCUAACACCAAGGUUUCUAGAUAAACCCUUACCAUUCCUGACACCAAGGUUUCUAGAUAAACCCUUACCAUUCCUAACACCAAGGUUUCUAGAUAAACCCUUACCAUUCCUAACACCAAGGUUUCUAGAUAAACCCUUACCAUUCCUAACACCAAGGUUUCUAGAUAAACCCUU
Long non-coding RNA from Oncorhynchus keta (chum salmon), 819 nucleotides. RefSeq lists it as uncharacterized. Lineage: Eukaryota; Metazoa; Chordata; Actinopteri; Salmoniformes; Salmonidae. The record is from RefSeq and is a predicted model, not a curated record. The transcript is spliced from 3 exons.